CUCGCCGCUGAUGCAACACAUUGACAGGUUCCCACGGUUUAUACAUCGACCUCAAGUGUUAAGACAUUAACUCUAAGGAGCGAGGCACCAUGGGAGAACAGCUGAGCCCAGAUGAGAAGCUUCACCUCAUCACUAGGAACCUUCAGGAGGUGCUUGGAGAAGACAAGAUAAAGCAGGUUCUGACAGAGAGGGAGCUGAAGGUGUACUGGGAACUGCCACCACAGGAAAGCCCCAUGUUGCCUACUUCGUCCCCAUGUCCAAG
Molecule: long non-coding RNA, 262 nt
Organism: Oncorhynchus masou masou (cherry salmon)
Lineage: Eukaryota; Metazoa; Chordata; Actinopteri; Salmoniformes; Salmonidae
Exons: 3
Source: RefSeq, a predicted model, not a curated record